Molecule: ribosomal RNA, 464 nt
Filed under: uncultured bacterium
Lineage: Bacteria
Description: partial 16S ribosomal RNA
Rfam family: Bacterial small subunit ribosomal RNA
Source: RNAcentral
CUACGGGACGCUGCAGUGAGGAAUUUUGCGCAAUGGGGGAAACCCUGACGCAGCAACGCCGCGUGAGUGAAGAAGGCUUUCGGGUCGUAAAGCUCUGUCAGAUAGGAAAAAAGUUCAUAUGUAAAUAGCUUAUGAAUCUGAUGGUACUAUCAGAGGAAGCACCGGCUAACUCCGUGCCAGCAGCCGCGGUAAUACGGAGGGUGCAAGCGUUGUUCGGAAUUACUGGGCGUAUAGGGCGUGUAGGCGGUAUGGUAAGUCAGAUGUGAAAGCCCUGGGCUUAACUCAGGAAGUGCAUUUGAUACUGCCAUCCUUGAGUAUGGGAGAGGAGAGUAGAAUUCCCAGUGUAGAGGUGAAAUUCGUAGAUAUUGGGAGGAAUACCCGUGGCGAAGGCGACUCUCUGGACCAAUACUGACGCUGAGACGCGAAAGCGUGGGGAGCAAACAGGAUUAGAUACCCUUGUAGUC